Molecule: ribosomal RNA, 253 nt
Filed under: uncultured bacterium
Lineage: Bacteria
Description: partial 16S ribosomal RNA
Rfam family: Bacterial small subunit ribosomal RNA
Source: RNAcentral
UACAUAGGGGGCAAGCGUUAUCCGGAUUUACUGGGUGUAAAGGGUGCGUAGGCGGCUAUGCAAGUCAGGUGUGAAAACCCGGGGCUCAACCUCGGGAAUGCACUUGAAACUGUGUAGCUAGAGUACAGGAGAGGUAAGUGGAAUUCCUAGUGUAGCGGUAAAAUGCGUAGAUAUUAGGAAGAACACCAGUGGCGAAGGCGACUUACUGGACUGAAACUGACGCUGAGGCACGAAAGCGUGGGGAGCAAACAGG